Molecule: long non-coding RNA, 532 nt
Organism: Salvia splendens (bonfire salvia)
Lineage: Eukaryota; Viridiplantae; Streptophyta; Magnoliopsida; Lamiales; Lamiaceae
Exons: 2
Source: RefSeq, a predicted model, not a curated record
UUGAUUUCAACGAUGAUUCAUUUCAUCUCCCACUCUCUCUCUCACCAUUACUUCCACCUUCUCUUCUCAUCUUCUCUCUCUCACCGUUCUCUCAAAAACCCAAACCGCCGCCCCACUCACCAUAAUUCCGUUCUUCUCUCUUCUCGACGAUUUUCCGGCUGUGAAGAAAACGAAGAAUCAGUCGAUUUGCUUCCACCACCAAUUUUCUCUCACCUCGACGACGAGUAAUCAUUGUACACGACUCUGAUUAGAUUCAAAGAGGGCAAGAAACUUUAUAGAAGACGAUUUUGAUGAAGACAUUCCUAUAGCAGCUGCGACACAGUAUGGUGGUAGACAAGAUCUGAAUGUUUUUGGUGAUUUUUGUUGAAGGUUUCUUAUGAACAUGUUAGUGUGGGGUUUUGUGAAUGUCUAAAUUUUCGUGAUGUACAAUUAUACUUAAAUGAUGUACAACGUUAAUUACUAGUGAUGUGUGUUUUAUAGUCAUUAAUGGACAAACAUUUUACAUUGUUUAUAAUACUCAUAUUUUAUUGUA